GACGAACGCUGGCGGCGUGCUUAACACAUGCAAGUCGAACGGAAAGGCCCCUUUGGGGGUACUCGAGUGGCGAACGGGUGAGUAACACGUGAGUAACCUGCCCUUGACUUCGGGAUAACUUCAGGAAACUGGGGCUAAUACCGGAUAGGAAUCCUUGCUGCAUGGUGGGGGUUGGAAAGCUUCGGCGGUUUUGGAUGGACUCGCGGCUUAUCAGCUUGUUGGUGGGGUAGUGGCUUACCAAGGCUUUGACGGGUAGCCGGCCUGAGAGGGCGACCGGCCACAUUGGGACUGAGAUACGGCCCAGACUCCGACGGGAGGCAGCAGUGGGGAAUAUUGCACAAGGGGCGGAAGCCUGAUGCAGCAACGCCGCGUGCGGGAUGACGGCCUUCGGGUUGUAAACCGCUUUCAGCAGGGGCGAAGCUUGUGGUGACGGUACCUGCAGAAGAAGCACCGGCUAACUACGUG
RNAcentral lists this ribosomal RNA (465 nucleotides) under uncultured bacterium. RNAcentral's name for it is "partial 16S ribosomal RNA". It matches the Rfam family "Bacterial small subunit ribosomal RNA", at positions 28 to 507 of the family's 1533-position model. The record is from RNAcentral.